This 503-nucleotide ribosomal RNA is filed under the name uncultured bacterium. RNAcentral's name for it is "partial 16S ribosomal RNA". It matches the Rfam family "Bacterial small subunit ribosomal RNA", at positions 30 to 523 of the family's 1533-position model. The record is from RNAcentral.
AUUGAACGCUGGCGGCAGGCUUAACACAUGCAAGUCGAGCGGGGUGAUGGUGCUUGCACUAUCACUUAGCGGCGGACGGGUGAGUAAUGCUUAGGAAUCUGCCUAUUAGUGGGGGACAACAUCUCGAAAGGGAUGCUAAUACCGCAUACGUCCUACGGGAGAAAGCAGGGGAUCACUUGUGACCUUGCGCUAAUAGAUGAGCCUAAGUCGGAUUAGUUAGUUGGUGGGGUAAAGGCCUACCAAGGCGACGAUCUGUAGCGGGUCUGAGAGGAUGAUCCGCCACACUGGGACUGGAACACGGCCCAGACUCCUACGGGAGGCAGCAGUGGGGAAUAUUGGACAAUGGGGGGAACCCUGAUCCAGCCAUGCCGCGUGUGUGAAGAAGGCCUUAUGGUUGUAAAGCACUUUAAGCGAGGAGGAGGCUCUUUUGGUUAAUACCCAAGAUGAGUGGACGUUACUCGCAGAAUAAGCACCGGCUAACUCUGUGCCAGCCGCCACCGUAA